CCGGACACCGCGCAUAACGGUAGCUUUAGUGCACCGGGCUGCCUUUUUUUUGUAUGAGCGCUUGAGUCGUGCGUGUAGUUUUUUUUUUCAAAAUAUGAGACGAAAGUUGUUUAAUAAUAGAAACACUUUAUCAUAUGUUCAGAGGCUCCACCAAGUCCAACAUUUGAAUUGUGGUUGUUGUACAUUAGUUGUCUUUACUUCAAAACAACUGGCAUUUCUUUCUCAAAACUCCUGCAUAAGAAAGCAGGGAUGGUAAUCCAGCUCACUGUCUAUGGAAAAUAGUUUCUGUAUCUCCGAGGGGUACGAUUUGCAUACACUCGACCCUCCCUAAACCCCACUUGGCGGGACUAAGCGAGGAUUACACUAGGGCAGGGCAGAGAAAUCUGCAAAGUUUAUCAAACUUCAGGACAAAGAUAUGGUUGAGUUUGCAGAAGAGAGGGAAAAUCUGACAAGAGCUCAUGAAGAGAGAAGACAGACUCUGGGAAGAGGCGAUUGCCCUUGACAAGAAAUAUGACCUCGAGCUGGUUAAGCUGAUAGAGAAGUACUCGCUGAAGCAAUCUGAGCAGGAAGGACAGAAGUAGCCAAAAGAAGGUCAAGAUCCCAUCAUUCAUCAAAAACUUCAACAAAAAGCUCAAAACAAGAAUUUAAGGACAUAGUAGAUGAGAGAUUAGGUGAAGAAAAUCUUUGCAAAACACAAAGAGGAGGAAGAGGAGAAUGAAAUGGUAGACAAGAACUACAACCAAGAGUAAAAAGUGGUAGCAAUAACAAAGGAAACUAAAAGGACUUUCAUUUUGAUCCUCUAUGUUUACCAACAUGUUUUGUGCUUCUGUGUUUAAUAUCAACAACAUUUUGUGUAAGCUUUUAACAACAAGAAUCUUGAUUGACAAUGAUGUUUGUUGAUAAAGUGGUUGUGGGAUUUGAAGAGUGAGUUUGUUAGAGAUGAUGUAGGAAGUGACAUUGUAAGAGUUAAUGAAUGAGUUGACCAUAUUUUUGGUUGUGUACUUUGUGUAGAUAAAAUUAUUUUGGUUUAAAUAAGUCAAUCAAUUUUUUUUUGGG
Long non-coding RNA from Capsicum annuum, 1056 nucleotides. RefSeq lists it as uncharacterized. The transcript is spliced from 3 exons. The record is from RefSeq and is a predicted model, not a curated record. Lineage: Eukaryota; Viridiplantae; Streptophyta; Magnoliopsida; Solanales; Solanaceae.